ACCGCUGCCAAUCUAUCUACCGCUGCCAACCUACCUACCACUGCUAAUCUAUCGCUGCUAAUCUAUCACUGCCAAUCUAUAUAGGGUAAAUCAUGGUCCCAUUUGGUCCCAUUUUGUAAAAUGGGAUCAAAUGGGACUGAGACCACUAAUUUAUUAGUAAAACAUGAUCUGAGACUAGAUUUAUAAUAUAAACAGUGUAAAGUGACUAAUUUACUAAACACUAUAUGGGACCAGGACU
This 238-nucleotide small RNA is filed under the name Histoplasma capsulatum. RNAcentral's name for it is "hypothetical RNA". The record is from RNAcentral. RNAcentral also lists the same sequence under 1 other name. Lineage: Eukaryota; Fungi; Ascomycota; Eurotiomycetes; Onygenales; Ajellomycetaceae.